This 425-nucleotide ribosomal RNA is filed under the name Culicoides imicola. RNAcentral describes it as "partial 16S ribosomal RNA". Lineage: Eukaryota; Metazoa; Arthropoda; Insecta; Diptera; Ceratopogonidae. The record is from RNAcentral.
UUGACCGUGCCAAAGGUAGCAUAAUCUAUUGUCUUUUAAUUAAAGGCUUGUAUGAAUGGUUGAAUGAGAUAUUAACUAUUUUUAUUUUAAUAAAAAUGAAUUUUAAUUUUUAGUAAAAAUGCUAAAAUAAAAAAAUUAGACGAGAAGACCCUAUAAAUCUUAAUUUUAUUUUUUAUAAUAUUAAUUUUGAAAAUUUUUAAUAAAUUAUAAAAAUAAAAUUUUAUUGGGAGGAUAAUGAAAUUUAAUAAACUUUUAUUUUUUUUUAUAAAUAUAAUUAAAUUAUUGAAUAUAUAAUUAUAAAAUAUUUAAAAAAUUAAGUUACUUUAGGGAUAACAGCGUAAUUAUUUUAAAGAGUUCUUAUCGAUAAAAUAGUUUGCGACCUCGAUGUUGAAUUAAGAAUUAAUGUACGCGUUCAGAAGUUGACA